RNAcentral lists this ribosomal RNA (1061 nucleotides) under Salmonella enterica subsp. enterica serovar Newport. RNAcentral's name for it is "partial 23S ribosomal RNA". It matches the Rfam family "Bacterial large subunit ribosomal RNA", at positions 161 to 1259 of the family's 2925-position model. RNAcentral also lists the same sequence under 1 other name. The record is from RNAcentral. Lineage: Bacteria; Pseudomonadati; Pseudomonadota; Gammaproteobacteria; Enterobacterales; Enterobacteriaceae.
AAUCCAUAGGUUAAUGAGGCGAACCGGGGGAACUGAAACAUCUAAGUACCCCGAGGAAAAGAAAUCAACCGAGAUUCCCCCAGUAGCGGCGAGCGAACGGGGAGGAGCCCAGAGCCUGAAUCAGCAUGUGUGUUAGUGGAAGCGUCUGGAAAGGCGCGCGAUACAGGGUGACAGCCCCGUACACAAAAGCGCAUGUGCUGUGAGCUCGAUGAGUAGGGCGGGACACGUGGUAUCCUGUCUGAAUAUGGGGGGACCAUCCUCCAAGGCUAAAUACUCCUGACUGACCGAUAGUGAACCAGUACCGUGAGGGAAAGGCGAAAAGAACCCCGGCGAGGGGAGUGAAAAAGAACCUGAAACCGUGUACGUACAAGCAGUGGGAGCACAGGUUUACCUGUGUGACUGCGUACCUUUUGUAUAAUGGGUCAGCGACUUAUAUUCUGUAGCAAGGUUAACCGAAUAGGGGAGCCGGAGGGAAACCGAGUCUUAAUUGGGCGUUAAGUUGCAGGGUAUAGACCCGAAACCCGGUGAUCUAGCCAUGGGCAGGUUGAAGGUUGGGUAACACUAACUGGAGGACCGAACCGACUAAUGUUGAAAAAUUAGCGGAUGACCUGUGGCUGGGGGUGAAAGGCCAAUCAAACCGGGAGAUAGCUGGUUCUCCCCGAAAGCUAUUUAGGUAGCGCCUCGUGAAUUCAUCUCCGGGGGUAGAGCACUGUUUCGGCUAGGGGGCCAUCCCGGCUUACCAACCCGAUGCAAACUGCGAAUACCGGAGAAUGUUAUCACGGGAGACACACGGCGGGUGCUAACGUCCGUCGUGAAGAGGGAAACAACCCAGACCGCCAGCUAAGGUCCCAAAGUCAUGGUUAAGUGGGAAACGAUGUGGGAAGGCCCAGACAGCCAGGAUGUUGGCUUAGAAGCAGCCAUCAUUUAAAGAAAGCGUAAUAGCUCACUGGUCGAGUCGGCCUGCGCGGAAGAUGUAACGGGGCUAAACCAUGCACCGAAGCUGCGGCAGCGACACUGUGUGUUGUUGGGUAGGGGAGCGUUCUGUAAGCCUGUGAAGGUGU